RNAcentral lists this unclassified non-coding RNA (274 nucleotides) under Hevea brasiliensis (rubber tree). The record is from RNAcentral. Lineage: Eukaryota; Viridiplantae; Streptophyta; Magnoliopsida; Malpighiales; Euphorbiaceae.
AAACCAGCUGAUCAUGAGUACAGCCAGCACCAGCAGAAGAAUGACCAACAACAUCACCAUUGCUUCGGCGGCCACGUCUCCGACAAGAUCAAAGGUGUCUUCAAAGGCCACCAUCACGGCCAGGCUCCACCAGCAGUGGCGCCGGUGCACCACUCUGCCAAUGCUAACCACUGCAAGCCAGCUGGGUCAAAGAAGAAGAAGGAACACCACAAGAAUAAAGAAGGAGGUUUGUUUCAUAAGAUCAAGGAUGCCUUUUCUGACCACAGCAGUGACA